AGAGUACCAACAUGUUACAAAUGAGAAUUUUCCCCACAAAUUCUUUGGACAACCGCACCACCACCUAUUUCAUUUUAUGACAAUUUUAAGGCAAACAGCAUCCAAAACUGACAAGACAGCAAAUACCCUGGCUAAUCUUUUGAAGGUUUAUGAUGAGCAGGAACUGCAUGAUGUCAGUUCAUGAUGGACUACUGUUAUCAGAGGUCUUUUGGUCUUGCUGCGUGAGCGUGACUGGGGAUUCUUUAGGACCACCCUGAUUAAUAAUCCUGAAGCGCUGACUGAAGAUGCUUUAUUGGCCCUGCAGUCACUGAGGGUCUCUGCUGUCCGGAAGAAUGAAUUGGAC
Molecule: long non-coding RNA, 343 nt
Organism: Danio aesculapii
Lineage: Eukaryota; Metazoa; Chordata; Actinopteri; Cypriniformes; Danionidae
Exons: 3
Source: RefSeq, a predicted model, not a curated record